UUCGACUGAUCUACCAAUAAAGCGCUCGA
RNAcentral lists this small RNA (29 nucleotides) under Bombyx mori (domestic silkworm). RNAcentral's name for it is "ovarian small RNA-4021". Lineage: Eukaryota; Metazoa; Arthropoda; Insecta; Lepidoptera; Bombycidae. The record is from RNAcentral.